CCGAACCGACUAAUGUUGAAAAAUUAGCGGAUGACCUGUGGCUGGGGGUGAAAGGCCAAUCAAACCGGGAGAUAGCUGGUUCUCCCCGAAAGCUAUUUAGGUAGCGCCUCGUGAAUUCAUCUCCGGGGGUAGAGCACUGUUUCGGCUAGGGGGCCAUCCCGGCUUACCAACCCGAUGCAAACUGCGAAUACCGGAGAAUGUUAUCACGGGAGACACACGGCGGGUGCUAACGUCCGUCGUGAAGAGGGAAACAACCCAGACCGCCAGCUAAGGUCCCAAAGUCAUGGUUAAGUGGGAAACGAUGUGGGAAGGCCCAGACAGCCAGGAUGUUGGCUUAGAAGCAGCCAUCAUUUAAAGAAAGCGUAAUAGCUCACUGGUCGAGUCGGCCUGCGCGGAAGAUGUAACGGGGCUAAACCAUGCACCGAAGCUGCGGCAGCGACACUGUGUGUUGUUGGGUAGGGGAGCGUUC
RNAcentral lists this ribosomal RNA (469 nucleotides) under Salmonella enterica. RNAcentral's name for it is "partial 23S ribosomal RNA". It matches the Rfam family "Bacterial large subunit ribosomal RNA", at positions 774 to 1241 of the family's 2925-position model. RNAcentral also lists the same sequence under 1 other name. Lineage: Bacteria; Pseudomonadati; Pseudomonadota; Gammaproteobacteria; Enterobacterales; Enterobacteriaceae. The record is from RNAcentral.